RNAcentral lists this ribosomal RNA (434 nucleotides) under uncultured bacterium. Its description in RNAcentral is "bacterial SSU rRNA". It matches the Rfam family "Bacterial small subunit ribosomal RNA", at positions 960 to 1392 of the family's 1533-position model. The record is from RNAcentral.
CGCGAAGAACCUUACCUGGUCUUGACAUGUCCGGAAUCCUGCAGAGAUGCGGGGGUGCCUUCGGGAAUCGGAACACAGGUGCUGCAUGGCUGUUGUCAGCUCGUGUCGUGAGAUGUUGGGUUAAGUCCCGCAACGAGCGCAACCCUUGUCCUUAGUUGCCAGCACGUAAUGGUGGGAACUCUAAGGAGACUGCCGGUGACAAACCGGAGGAAGGUGGGGAUGACGUCAAGUCAUCAUGGCCCUUACGACCAGGGCUACACACGUACUACAAUGGGAAGGACAGAGGGCAGCGAUACCGCGAGGUGGAGCCAAUCCCAGAAACCUUCUCUCAGUCCGGAUUGGAGUCUGCAACUCGACUUCAUGAAGUCGGAAUCGCUAGUAAUCGCAGAUCAGCAUUGCUGCGGUGAAUACGUUCCCGGGCCUUGUACACACCG